RNAcentral lists this ribosomal RNA (219 nucleotides) under Clostridioides difficile. RNAcentral describes it as "partial 16S ribosomal RNA". It matches the Rfam family "Bacterial small subunit ribosomal RNA", at positions 210 to 428 of the family's 1533-position model. Lineage: Bacteria; Bacillati; Bacillota; Clostridia; Peptostreptococcales; Peptostreptococcaceae. The record is from RNAcentral.
GUGAGCCAGUACAGGAUGGACCCGCGUCUGAUUAGCUAGUUGGUAAGGUAACGGCUUACCAAGGCGACGAUCAGUAGCCGACCUGAGAGGGGGAUCGGCCACAUUGGAACUGAGACACGGUCCAAACGCCUACGGGAGGCAGCAGUGGGGAAUAUUGCACAAUGGGCGAAAGCCUGAUGCAGCAACGCCGCGUGAGUGAUGAAGGCCUUCGGGUCGUAA